AUAUUUACUGGCAGUUAUAAAAUUUAAAAAGUGGAUACAACUAAUAUCAGUUGGUCAUACUUCAACUUUAAUAGUAUUGAUACAAAUGGCGAUUGGGAAAGGACUCUUUUGUUAAUCUUGAUUCUUUUCAGCGAAUCUCUUCGCUGAUGGCUUUGAUGUUAUGGAUAAAAAGAAAUCGAAGCCGAUCUGAAACUUUCUGAGGUAGAUCCUCGUUAAAUCAUCCAAUUUGAUGGCUUACUGCAUAAAGAUAGAGAUCCACCAUAAAAGCACUUCAACAGAUCAGUAAAGGUGUGUAGCAUUGACUUGGAUCAACCAUAUCCAUUUCCAUGGACUAAACCAUAUCCAUUUCCAUGGACUAACUUCGUCAAUAGAAAUAAUAUGGAUCGGUGAUGUUACGAUCGGCUAAAGUGAUUUGGUUGAACGGCAAAAGAGAGAUGAGGCAACAGAUUGUUUGUUGGAAGAAAAAAGAUAUCGUGGAAAUAUAUAUAUUUAUAUAAAAUCAUAGCUUAAAAAAUAAUUCAGUGG
Raphanus sativus (radish) is the source of this 525-nucleotide long non-coding RNA. RefSeq lists it as uncharacterized. The record is from RefSeq and is a predicted model, not a curated record. NCBI's taxonomy places the organism in Eukaryota, Viridiplantae, Streptophyta, Magnoliopsida, Brassicales, Brassicaceae. The transcript has 4 exons.